UGGUUUGCGCUAUAGACUGGCUCCGGUGU
Molecule: non-coding RNA, 29 nt
Filed under: Homo sapiens (human)
Lineage: Eukaryota; Metazoa; Chordata; Mammalia; Primates; Hominidae
Source: RNAcentral